GCAAGUCGAACGAACCCUUCGGGGUGAGUGGCGCACGGGUGCGUAACGCGUGGGAACCUGCCUUUAGGUUCGGAAUAACAGUUAGAAAUGACUGCUAAUACCGAAUAAUGUCUUCGGACCAAAGAUUUAUCGCCUUUAGAUGGGCCCGCGUUAGAUUAGAUAGUUGGUGGGGUAAUGGCCUACCAAGACCACGAUCUAUAGCUGGUUUGAGAGGAUGAUC
This 220-nucleotide ribosomal RNA is filed under the name uncultured bacterium. Its description in RNAcentral is "partial 16S ribosomal RNA". It matches the Rfam family "Bacterial small subunit ribosomal RNA", at positions 57 to 305 of the family's 1533-position model. The record is from RNAcentral.